CCUGCUAAUGUUUUUAACAGCUUUUGGGGGGUACUUUUUUUAGUUUCAGUGUAUGAAACAAAUUCUGUAAGAAGCUUGCAUGGACAUACAGAUUGAAUUCUGCAAAUAAGCACUUCAGAGACUAUGCAAUGGGAACGCGAACUGAAGUGAGUUUCUUCUCCAUCUACUUUCUGUGUGCUUUGAAGAAAGUGAGCUGUCAAGAGUAAACUUCCAGCUAAAUAACUACAUGCCGUAGGAGGCAAAAGGCAAGCAAAAACAAUAAAAAGACAGGAUCAUGGAUCACGGAAGGUAAGCCAGAUUUGUGAUGCCUCUGUACUUCAAUUUUUAAGUUCAUUAUUAUUUUUAUAUAACAGGCUAUUUUGCUAGCUUCUACUG
Gallus gallus (chicken) is the source of this 375-nucleotide long non-coding RNA. RefSeq lists it as uncharacterized. NCBI's taxonomy places the organism in Eukaryota, Metazoa, Chordata, Aves, Galliformes, Phasianidae. The transcript has 3 exons. The record is from RefSeq and is a predicted model, not a curated record.